UCCAGGGUAGCCUAGUGGACAUGGCAUCUGCCCGGUAAGCGGAACACUGUGGGUUCGAUUCCCAUUCUUGGAC
Molecule: transfer RNA, 73 nt
Filed under: Cordylochernes scorpioides
Lineage: Eukaryota; Metazoa; Arthropoda; Arachnida; Pseudoscorpiones; Chernetidae
Description: tRNA-Thr
Rfam family: tRNA
About the family: Transfer RNA (tRNA) molecules are approximately 80 nucleotides in length.
Source: RNAcentral